RNAcentral lists this long non-coding RNA (918 nucleotides) under Brassica napus (rape). RNAcentral describes it as "long non-coding RNA (BNAP_LNC000393)". Lineage: Eukaryota; Viridiplantae; Streptophyta; Magnoliopsida; Brassicales; Brassicaceae. The record is from RNAcentral.
UGGAAUGUAUCUCUGAAACAAGAGUAAUUUUCACUCUAAGUCACUUUAGCACUUUUUAUUACAGCAUAAGACACUUAUUGUUCCUAGGGUAGUUUUGAGUAACUUUUACUUCUUUUUCCCUAACUAAACGUAACUACAAAAGAUUCUAGUUUCCUUUUGUUUUAACUAUUUUUAUUAAAAAAAUACUUGCCUUUUUGCUUUACUUUCUUUUUCAUUUACUGUAAGUUUCUUCUCCACAAAAACCACAUAUGUAGUUCAAUCUUCUUCUUAUCCACUUCGACCAACAAGCACCACCGCAAAGAAAGAUCAGAAGUUGACCGGGGAACGUCUUCGUCUCAAUCUCAAUACAAUUUGAUGUAGUUCCGCCGCCGGCUCAAUCCCCGGCUCUAUUUCAAUCCAUCAUCACCGGGUGGUCAUUCUCAGCGCCGUCGCGUCACGUCUUCCUCCGCGUCUUUAAAUUGGUGGUUCGUCAAGCUCUGUCGUGCCUUCCUCCAUGACAUCUCCUCCUCUCCAACCGCCGGCGAACCAAACGGAGGGUCGAUCCGAAUUGUGAACCUCGAAGGGAUCCAUUCCCAAACCAAGUUUCAUAUAUUUCCACAACUAGUCCUUUAGUUUUCAAUUUUUUAUAAUUUGACCCUAAAAGUUGCAAAUUUGCACAGUUUCUUUUCAAUUUGGCUCCACAAUUGUAAUUGUGUAAUACAACUCCUAUUUUAUAAAGAUUACUAUGCAAAAAAAAAUAUAAUCUAAAAUGAAAAGCCAAAACCAUGAAAUACAUUAUUAUCGUUUAAAUAUUAGCUAUAUGUAUGAAGAUUCCUGAAUGUUCAUAUGUACAUGAAUUAAUGUACACAAAAUUAGUAUCCACAUGUACAAGAAUACACACGUACACCAAUUAAAUUGUGCAAGAAUUCACAUGUACAC